RNAcentral lists this ribosomal RNA (253 nucleotides) under uncultured bacterium. RNAcentral describes it as "partial 16S ribosomal RNA". It matches the Rfam family "Bacterial small subunit ribosomal RNA", at positions 524 to 776 of the family's 1533-position model. The record is from RNAcentral.
UACGUAGGGUGCAAGCGUUAAUCGGAAUUACUGGGCGUAAAGCGUGCGCAGGCGGUUUUGUAAGUUUGUCGUGAAAGCCCCGGGCUCAACCUGGGAAUUGCAUUCGAGACUGCAUAGCUAGGGUGCGGAAGAGGGAAGCGGAAUUUCCGGUGUAGCGGUGAAAUGCGUAGAUAUCGGAAGGAACACCAGUGGCGAAAGCGGCUUCCUGGUCCAGCACCGACGUUCAGGCACGAAAGCGUGGGGAGCAAACAGG